UGGUGUGAACAGGUUACUUGUGGUGCAGUGUGGUAGUGGAAAAAGCUGCAUUACGUGUGACCUGCCCACACCAU
Molecule: microRNA precursor, 74 nt
Filed under: Ornithorhynchus anatinus (platypus)
Lineage: Eukaryota; Metazoa; Chordata; Mammalia; Monotremata; Ornithorhynchidae
Description: mir-1421 microRNA precursor family
Rfam family: mir-1421 microRNA precursor family
Source: Rfam by way of RNAcentral